RNAcentral lists this ribosomal RNA (612 nucleotides) under Trigonopterus sp. 651 AR-2022a. RNAcentral describes it as "partial large subunit ribosomal RNA". The record is from RNAcentral. Lineage: Eukaryota; Metazoa; Arthropoda; Insecta; Coleoptera; Curculionidae.
GCGUAAUGAAAGUGAAGGUUCUCCUCGCGAGAACCUAGGGAGGACGGGCGGKUUUCACCCUUAAAAGUGGCCGCUCCGCACUCCCGGGGCGUCUCGUUCUCAUCGCGAGAAGAGGCGCACCAAGAGCGUACACGCUGGGACCCGAAAGAUGGUGAACUAUGCCUGGUCAGGACGAAGUCWGGGGAAACCCUGAUGGAGGUCCGUAGCGAUUCUGACGUGCAAAUCGAUCGUCGGAACUGGGUAUAGGGGCGAAAGACUAAUCGAACCAUCUAKUAGCUGGUUCCCUCCGAAGUUUCCCUCAGGAUAGCUGGCGCUCGUCGCGCACGAGUCUCAUCCGGUAAAGCGAAUGAUUAGAGGCAUUGGGGUCGAAACGACCUCMACCUAUUCUCAAACUUUAAAUGGGUGAGAUCUCCGGCUUGCUCRAACUCACACUAAAAUUAKUUGAAGCCGCGAGACACGGAUCAGAGUGCCAAGUGGGCCAUUUUUGGUAASCAGAACUGGCGCUGUGGGAUGAACCAAACGUCKAGUUAAAGCGCCUAAAUCGACGCUUAUGGGAUACCAUGAAAGGCGUUGGUAACUUAAKACAGCAGGACGGUGGCCAUGGAAGUCGGA